Punica granatum (pomegranate) is the source of this 2807-nucleotide non-coding RNA. NCBI's taxonomy places the organism in Eukaryota, Viridiplantae, Streptophyta, Magnoliopsida, Myrtales, Lythraceae. The record is from RefSeq and is a predicted model, not a curated record.
GUACUUAUGGUCCAUCCGCAUUCUGUACGUAUCUCAAUCUGGCUAGUGGAGGGAGGAGGAGGAGGAGAAGCAAUGAUCCUUCGGCGGCAGCAUAGUUUUUCAUCCAGCAAGCAGCAGCCUUCUUCAUACAGUUCUUUCUGGUUCUCUUCCUCACUUUUGACUCUGUUCCUUGUCCUGCCUCAGCUCUUCAUCUCUCUCCUCAGUUCAACUCCCGGCCCGGAGAGAUACUCUUCACUCGUUAUCUUUUCGACAUGGAAUUUGCGGACUUCUUCUUUUCCUUCUCCUUCUUCUGCUUCUGCUCCCACUGCGCCUGGCCCAGCAGAUUUACCAGGUCUUAUGGGGGCUCCAUUGAAUUACUCGGAUGUGGUCCCAUCAGUCCCGGAUUUUUCUGUUCCUUUAUCGGCAGCGCAGGGAGCCGUAGCAGAGCAAUUGCCGUCGCCGAGGGGAGGCAAAGCGAGCAAGGUGUGAUCAGAGAAGGGAAGGGCAGCGUGAAAGAGGUGGGCGAUCGGUGAAUCCGUCGUCAGCAACUAUGAGUGAAUGAUUUUAGAGGGUCAUAAUAAUUUGCCGUUUGUAAAACCUAAUUAUUAUCCUCCUCCUCCUCCUCUUCCUCUUUCUUCUUCCUCCUCACUGACUGAAUGAUUUUGCGAUGGUCGUCAGUUGCUGAGGUUCGACUUGGAGACUGGUCUAUUGCUGUGUGCUGCGGUUGUUGUUGCUUAAUAAUUAGUAUCAGUUUGAUGUUUAAGCUCCAUAACCCUCGAUCGCUCCGUCUGUCGAGUCCUCUGUUUGUGAUCAUUUAGCUAUGUGAUUGGGGAGGUCGGCUCCGGUGGAUACUCUGUGGUUGUUUUCCCGGUGGAUACAUGCCCGUUAUCCAUUCUUGAGGUUAUAUAUAUAUAUAUAUAUAUUAACCUUGAAAAGAAGCUUUCCUGGUCUUAUAUUUUCUCGUUUUGGUUGGUCACGAUACCUUUUUUAUAUAUUCCAUUCCCUUAGUUUUCUGCCCCUGUUGAUUAUGUGUGUUUCUUUCUUCUAAUUUCUCACACCAGCAAAGGAAUGACUGGCUGAUAUCCAUCCUAAUAUUCGCCUGUACGUAUAUAAUAUGUGUCUGUUUAAUUAUACUCCAAAACCUCGAGGACAUAUAGCAGAAGCAACUAUUGUUGGCUCACGAGCUUGAAUUUUGCGCAAUAAAUUAUUAAUUAUAGCUUAUGAUAAGCAUGCAUUUCUUUUAAUUGGUUUAGCUCGGGAAAGAAAGGUUCAGAUUGGCCCGUGAGCUGUAUAUAGAUAUAUAUAUAUACACACACACUAUGUUUAGGUGUAUUAAUACAUCUGUAUUGGAUAUGCUGUGUAUAUCGUGGCUUUCCUUUGAUCUGUUCUCUUUUUGUAACUGAACUCGGUGGCCGUGACCGGGAGAGGAGAGGCUCAAAGUUCAGGGGGAGGUACUUCUAUGGGUUGAUUCUUACUCAAAUAGGAGCAGGUGCUCCUGCUGAUCAGUCACAAGCAUGGUCUCGAUUAUGGAUCGAUCGAGCCAAGCGGACGGCCGGGAGGGAAGAGGGUCGCUUUUGACUUUUUGUUUCAUGCUUUCGUAAUCAAAGUUUUUCGUUAAGUAGUGAAACCAUAGUAUUUUGGCACAUGCAUAUUUAUACAUUGAAAUAUGAAUAAUAAUUUUCGCCUUUUAUUUAGUUGGACUUUUAAGAAAAGAUCAUGGCUCCUUAUAUUCUUUUUGGCGAGUGUCUUUCAACCCAUCGUCUAUGAUCUGCUGUGGAGAGCUAUCGGGUAUAUGCUUAAGUAGUAGUGAGAAGUUCCAUCCGCCCUUACCCCCAAAGCGAAGCAAAGAAGAGGAAGAGGGGCAGGGGGAAAAGAAAAAUAUGGCUUCUAUAUAUAUAUCUGAGGACGUACAAAGGUUGGAGCCACCAUGAGAGAGAGUCUAUUUUCUCGCGCUUUCGCCAGUGAUGAUUAACGACUCCAUUCGAUUGUUUUGUUUACAAAUCUUCACUUUUUGGAUAACAUAUUACAUUUUUGACAUAUUCAAGCUCUUUGCAGUCCAGAGACAUGUUCUUCCUGCUAAAGUCCUCAUUUUUGAAAGGAGAUGAUGGUUUUAGGAUGAAUGAAGAGAUCGUGUCUUUGGGGUAUAUUAUGGGAUCAUGGCCUUUGGUCUAUAGCAUGUUAUUGUUACCAACAGGCAGAAGUUCAAAGAGGAGUAUUCCAGCUUGGCCUUUCCUAGUUCUUUCAUUUCCAGGUGGGGUCUAUGCUCUUCUUCCCUACUUCAUUCUUUGGACACCACCCUCACCUCCUACAGAAGAGCAUGAAUUGAAAAAAUGGCCGUUAAAUUUUCUCUAGUCGAAGAUAACCGCUGCGGUUUUGUUAGGUGGAGGACUAGGACUAUUCGGUUAUGCAGCUCUAGCAAAUGCAGAUGUGUGGAAAGAAUUCUACCAGUACUUUCGAGAAAGCAGACUCGCGAAUCCAUGUCACAUGCCUUGACUUUGCUGUCCGCAUUUGCACCUUUUGGAUUUACAACGAUAUGACUUCCCGCAAAUGGUAUGACAAGGGAUUUUGGCUCUCCCGCUCUCAGUGGUUCCCUUUCUAGGGCCUGCUCUCUAUCUCGUUCUACGGCCACCAGUAUCGGCGACACCGAGUUUAUCAGGCCCUGCUGCUUCCGAACAAGAAUAGAGGAACACAUCUACGAAUGUGAGAAAACAAGGUGCUCUCGGUUUCUUAUCUUUUGUUUUUAGACUCCAUACAAAAGAAUUGUCCAUGUAACGACUUGACAGAGGUCACAUUUUGAUUGAACAUAGUGCUAAUGUUUUGGUAUUGAA